RNAcentral lists this long non-coding RNA (951 nucleotides) under Olea europaea subsp. europaea. The record is from RNAcentral. Lineage: Eukaryota; Viridiplantae; Streptophyta; Magnoliopsida; Lamiales; Oleaceae.
UUACUGUAUUUUAAAAUUAUUUACUCCCUCUGCUUUUUCUCUUAAUACAGCUUAAGGCUAAAUUGAUCGUUUGAUCUGUACCUUUAAUAGAAAAAAUUAAAGGUUUAGAGAAUUUUCUUGUCUUAUGCAGUAAUAAAGAAAGUUUUAAUUAUAAUAAGUUGACUUAUUUCCUAAAGGGUUGAUUCUCUGAUGAUCACAUGAUCUACGAAAGAACCACCACAAUAUGAAGUAUAUUGAUCUUACUGUUGCUAUAGUUUUCUCUCUCUAUAAAGCUGCGUCGAAGUCCCAAAUGCUUUAGAGAAGAAAGUUGACUAAGAGAUGACAAAAUUUUGUGAUCAAAAGAAUUGUCACCCAGAUCAAGGGCCUCCAAAUUUCUCAAUUUCGACAAUCUAUCUAUACCUGCACCAAAUUCAAUAUAUAUUCAAAUAAAAUAGGAAUAUCAAUAUUGAAUUAGCUAGCUACCUAAGGAGAGAUGGCAUUAUACCUUCAUUUUCAAUCCAACCGACUAACAGAUUGCCUGACAAAGAGAGAUAUUUGAGCUCUUGAAAGGGAAGAAAUAGAGAGGCAUUAAAAUACCAAUCUCCUAAUUUCAAAGGCCUAGCAAAAUCUAGAUUAAGUUGGAUUACUCGUCGAGUUGUACUGCAUUCAACAUCUUGCCAUUGACAACAGUCAGUUCCAAUCUCAUUAACAACCCAUGAAGGCAACGACUCUCCAUUUGGAAAGUUUAUAUUUGCUUUGAGGUGCAAAAGAGCAAUCCUCUCUUCUUCCCAACACCCUAAACAAUACCAUCCAUUUAGUAAUGAAAGCACAAUCAUCACUAACAUUACCCAUAACUUUAUUCCCAUCUUUCUUAAUUAUCAACACACUAAUUUUGGCUUGUCUGAAUUAUUAGCAAAGCUGCAAAAUCUCUUAUGUAUGGAGCUUGGUGGAUUUUUCGCUUUGGGAGAGUCC